AUUGAACGCUGGCGACAUGCCUUACACAUGCAAGUCGAACGGCAGCACGGGUGCUUGCACCUGGUGGCGAGUGGCGAACGGGUGAGUAAUACAUCGGAACAUGUCCUGUAGUGGGGGAUAGCCCGGCGAAAGCCGGAUUAAUACCGCAUACGAUCUACGGAUGAAAGCGGGGGACCUUCGGGCCUCGCGCUAUAGGGUUGGCCGAUGGCUGAUUAGCUAGUUGGUGGGGUAAAGGCCUACCAAGGCUACGAUCAGUAGCUGGUCUGAGAGGACGACCAGCCACACUGGGACUGAGACACGGCCCAGACUCCUACGGGAGGCAGCAGUGGGGAAUUUUGGACAAUGGGCGAAAGCCUGAUCCAGCAAUGCCGCGUGUGUGAAGAAGGCCUUCGGGUUGUAAAGCACUUUUGUCCGGAAAGAAAUCCUUGGCCCUAAUACGGUCGGGGGAUGACGGUACCGGAAGAAUAAGCACCGGCUAACUACGUG
This 486-nucleotide ribosomal RNA is filed under the name uncultured bacterium. Its description in RNAcentral is "partial 16S ribosomal RNA". It matches the Rfam family "Bacterial small subunit ribosomal RNA", at positions 30 to 507 of the family's 1533-position model. The record is from RNAcentral.